UACGUAGGGGGCUAGCGUUGUCCGGAAUCAUUGGGCGUAAAGCGCGCGUAGGCGGCCCGGUAAGUCCACUGUGAAAGUCAAAGGCUCAACCUUUGAAUGUCAGUGGAUACUGCCGGGCUAGAGUCCGGAAGAGGCGAGUGGAAUUCCUGGUGUAGCGGUGGAAUGCGCAGAUAUCAGGAGGAACACCAACGGCGAAGGCAGCUCGCUGGGACGGUACUGACGCUGAGGCGCGAAAGCCAGGGGAGCAAACGGG
This 253-nucleotide ribosomal RNA is filed under the name uncultured bacterium. Its description in RNAcentral is "partial 16S ribosomal RNA". It matches the Rfam family "Bacterial small subunit ribosomal RNA", at positions 524 to 776 of the family's 1533-position model. The record is from RNAcentral.